GAUGAACGCUGGCGGCGUGCCUAAUACAUGCAAGUCGAGCGAACAGACGAGGAGCUUGCUCCUCUGACGUUAGCGGCGGACGGGUGAGUAACACGUGGAUAACCUACCUAUAAGACUGGGAUAACUUCGGGAAACCGGAGCUAAUACCGGAUAAUAUAUUGAACCGCAUGGUUCAAUAGUGAAAGACGGUUUUGCUGUCACUUAUAGAUGGAUCCGCGCCGCAUUAGCUAGUUGGUAAGGUAACGGCUUACCAAGGCAACGAUGCGUAGCCGACCUGAGAGGGUGAUCGGCCACACUGGAACUGAGAAACGGUCCAGACCCCUACGGGAGGCAGCAGUAGGGAAUCUUCCGCAAUGGGCGAAAGCCUGACGGAGCAACGCCGCGUGAGUGAUGAAGGUCUUCGGAUCGUAAAACUCUGUUAUUAGGGAAGAACAAAUGUGUAAGUAACUAUGCACGUCUUGACGGUACCUAAUCAGAAAGCCACGGCUAACUACGUG
This 497-nucleotide ribosomal RNA is filed under the name uncultured bacterium. RNAcentral describes it as "partial 16S ribosomal RNA". It matches the Rfam family "Bacterial small subunit ribosomal RNA", at positions 28 to 507 of the family's 1533-position model. The record is from RNAcentral.